This 252-nucleotide ribosomal RNA is filed under the name uncultured bacterium. RNAcentral describes it as "partial 16S ribosomal RNA". It matches the Rfam family "Bacterial small subunit ribosomal RNA", at positions 525 to 776 of the family's 1533-position model. The record is from RNAcentral.
ACGGAGGGCGCAAGCGUUGUUCGGAAUUACUGGGCGUAAAGCGCUCGCAGGCGGUCCCUUAAGUCCGCCGUGAAACUCCGGGGCUCAACCCCGGACUGGCGACGGAUACUGAAGGACUGGAGACUGGUAGAGGCUAGCGGAAUUCUUGGUGUAGCGGUGGAAUGCGUAGAUAUCAGGAAGAACACCGGUGGCGAAGGCGGCUAGCUGGGCCAGUUCUGACGCUCAUGAGCGAAAGCGUGGGGAGCAAACAGG